Molecule: ribosomal RNA, 253 nt
Filed under: uncultured bacterium
Lineage: Bacteria
Description: partial 16S ribosomal RNA
Rfam family: Bacterial small subunit ribosomal RNA
Source: RNAcentral
UACGUAGGGUGCGAGCGUUGUCCGGAAUUAUUGGGCGUAAAGAGCUCGUAGGCGGCCUGUUGCGUCCGCUGUGAAAGCCCGGGGCUUAACCCCGGGUCGGCAGUGGAUACGGGCAGGCUAGAGGUUGGUAGGGGAGAAUGGAAUUCCCGGUGUAGCGGUGAAAUGCGCAGAUAUCGGGAGGAACACCGGUGGCGACGGCGGUUCUCUGGGCCUUACCUGACGCUGAGGAGCGAAAGCGUGGGGAGCGAACAGG